UGUGCAGGUGGGGUAAUAAGUCAGUAGUGAAAGCCCCGACUCAAUCGGGGAACUGCCAUAGAUACUGUUAUUCUUGAGUGUGGUUGAGGCGGAUGGAAUAUGACAUGUAGCGGUGAAAUGCUUAGAUAUGUCAUAGAACACCGAUCGCGAAGGCAGUCCGCCAAACCAUUACUGACACUGAAACACGAAAGUAGCGGGAUCAAACA
RNAcentral lists this ribosomal RNA (206 nucleotides) under uncultured bacterium. RNAcentral describes it as "partial 16S ribosomal RNA". It matches the Rfam family "Bacterial small subunit ribosomal RNA", at positions 568 to 774 of the family's 1533-position model. The record is from RNAcentral.